AGUGAGGUUGAUUUACCAAGAGCAAAUAGACUGUUCACUUUGCAAAAUAUUUUUUUUCCGGAGUUUAGUGAACGAGAUGAAGCUUUGCUGACUUUCACAAUUCAACGUGCAAGCAAAAAUGCUGUUUUUUUUUUUUCAAAUUAAAGUGAAAAUUCUCUUGCAAAGUGAACAGCCAAUUUGCCUUUAGUAAAGUAACCCCAGUGUGUGUGUAUCAAAGCAUACUGGUUUUAAAUGGGUCUCAUGUUUCGCUGUCAUGGAUGCAUUGCGUUUUUCUUUGAAAUCAGACAUUUAGAUUUAAAGACGUUGACUCCAGUGGAGCACUAUGAUUUAACUCUUGGAAAUUAAACAGAUAUUACAGCAUCUACCUAAAGACCUUAGAUAGUUGCCUGGUAAAUAUAUAUUAUCAGAACACUUUAUUUUAAUCCAGUGUGAAAAGAUCUCUAGAGAAUUGUAUUUGUUUUUUUUUUUUGUUUUUUUUUCGUAUAAUCAGUGUUACUGGAAUACUUAAAACAAAUUAAUGAGGUUUUGGAUUUAAAUGUAUUUUUGCACAAAAACAUAGAUUAAUAAUGGUAAGGUCAGAAGAGCACUUUAUGUAGAAGAGCACUAAAUCCAAAGGAUAAGCGGGUACGGCUUACUUCUACACACACCUCUAAAUGUGUCUAAUCAUUAUCAAAAUGGUUCAAUUUUUUUAAAUGUACAUUUUUUUUUAUUCAGUCUCUUUAUAGUAUCGUGGACCCCAUAAACCCUCAGACGUGUUACGUGUAAUAGAGUGUAUUGGCGGUGAAAAAAUGCAAUAUCUUACCAGCAGAUAAAAUUUAAAAACAUGGCUUCUGGUCCUCCAUAAACUAUGGCUGUAUCGGAGAAGGGAAUAGAUCUGUGUGACCAGAGUGGUCCAGGGCAGUUGUAUAUACAUUUUUUUAAUUGAAAUGUAAUGUCCUUCUAACAUCUGGGAUUGUUAAUGCUCAAGAAACAAUGUAAAAAUGCACAUAUUUGGAAUUUUAUAUAUUUUAUUAAAUGUUAGUGUAUCUUUUUGCCAUAAAGGGUUGCCAUAAUGUUAUAGGGAGCUGAAUCUGAAGGUGUGAACAUGUUUGAAAUCUGUACCACAAUAAUUGUAGCACGAAUCUGUUGAACCAUAUGAUGGUCUAUUUACAUGGAGCGCCUAUGGUUUGAUCCAUGUGUUUUAAAGGGCACAUCUUCUUUCCAUAGAUACAUCAUGCCUAUCAUGUUUAGUAGAUUAGUAGAACUCACUGUAUUACUGCAGGCAAUGUCACAUUUUUCAUUGAAUUGUUUUGUUUGAUUGUUUAAGUAUUUAUCCUAAAUCCGACUUGUAAUUUCGUCAGUUCAGUGUUAGACCAAAUUCUGAGUCACAGUAUUAAGUAUAUCCUUUGUUCCUGCAGAAUUGGUCUAUAGGAGUUACAUUUGACUACUGAAUUCCAUGUGCGGCAAAGUAUAUAGAGCAGAGAGUUGACCAUCCUGAGGAGGCAGGUUAGCAGAACCUGUAGAUAGGUAGACUCGGUCAUCACCAUCUACACAGCCAUACAAGAGGACUGACAAAAGGGGUUUCCCUCCAAACGCAAGGUCAUAAUUUCACCCUGCUGUGCUGUGAGACCAGGUGAGAGAGUUCUUAAACCACACAAUGCUGCCAUUUCCUUCAAGACUACUGUAAUAAGUUUCCAGAGUCCAGAACAAUUCACAGUACAGGCCUCUAUCUUUAGGCACAAAUGCCACAACCCACCCAGUCCUGCAGUCUUAACAUCUUUACUGUCUUUAUCAGCACUGCCUACAGGAUUCCACUGUGGACUCAAGCUAUCGAAGAAAUAAAUUUGGCGUUUCAAGUGCUGGUUUCCAUUUAAAGGGACAUACCUCAGCCAAAAUCGAUCUCCCCUUUUUCCUUUCAAAGCAAUCCCAGUUACCCUUUGAUAUCUUUAAAGUGACUCUUCACCCUAUCAUUGUUUACUAAAGGAGGAACUCUGUUUGCUAUUUUACCACUUCUUUGGGCAACUGUGUUUUAGUCAAAGAGACUACAUCCCUAUUGUGCACCAACAUUAGGGCCCCAACUAGCCGAAAGAAGAGUUCUUCAUGCGUUUGGGAUAUCUGUUGGCAAAUGUACUUGCUUAAAUUCCUGAGAGUUAAACCCUGAUUUUUCUCACUGAGAGCCUGCAAGUGAGCUAGCCCAGUGUUUGUUCGUUCCUUCCUUCUAAUCUCAUCCACUCACUUGGGGAAAUAUUUUGGUUUGGGAUCUCGCAUUUAAAUCUUCAGUCCUGCAGGAUGGGUGGGAGUGGUUUAAAGUGGUACUGUAUUGUGUUAAAUUGCCUUUUCUUGUUGGUGUUUUGCCAUUUGGAAUACUGUGUCAACUGUUUCUUUUGCUUAGUUUGCCAUUUCCGGCAAACUAGUUAAACAUUUAUCUCAUCA
Molecule: long non-coding RNA, 2412 nt
Organism: Rana temporaria (common frog)
Lineage: Eukaryota; Metazoa; Chordata; Amphibia; Anura; Ranidae
Exons: 2
Source: RefSeq, a predicted model, not a curated record